GCUCACUUCAGGAGCUCAUGUAACAAAACUGGAAUGAUACAUGGAAGAUAAGCAUAGCCCUUGCACCAAGAUGACGUGCAAAUUGGUGAAGCAUUGCCUAUAGUU
Small nuclear RNA from Lepus europaeus (European hare), 105 nucleotides. NCBI's taxonomy places the organism in Eukaryota, Metazoa, Chordata, Mammalia, Lagomorpha, Leporidae. The record is from RefSeq and is a predicted model, not a curated record.